CCUACGGGAGGCAGCAGUGGGGAAUAUUGCACAAUGGGGGAAACCCUGAUGCAGCAACGCCGCGUGAAGGAAGACGGUUUUCGGAUUGUAAACUUCUGUUCUUAGUGAAGAAUAAUGACGGUAGCUAAGGAGCAAGCCACGGCUAACUACGUGCCAGCAGCCGCGGUAAUACGUAGGUGGCAAGCGUUGUCCGGAAUUACUGGGUGUAAAGGGAGCGGAGGCGGGAAGCCAAGUCAGCUGUGAAAACUACGGGCUUAACUUGUAGACUGCAGUUGAAACUGGUUUUCUUGAGUGGAGUAGAGGUAAGCGGAAUUCCUAGUGUAGCGGUGAAAUGCGUAAAUAUUAGGAGGAACACCAGUGGCGAAGGCGGCUUACUGGGCUUUAACUGACGCUGAGGCUCGAAAGCGUGGGUAGCAAACAGGAUUAGAUACCCUAGUAGUC
Molecule: ribosomal RNA, 441 nt
Filed under: uncultured bacterium
Lineage: Bacteria
Description: partial 16S ribosomal RNA
Rfam family: Bacterial small subunit ribosomal RNA
Source: RNAcentral